This 926-nucleotide ribosomal RNA is filed under the name Leiobunum bimaculatum. RNAcentral's name for it is "16S ribosomal RNA". The stretch from base 505 to 844 matches the Rfam family "Archaeal large subunit ribosomal RNA", at positions 2151 to 2715 of the family's 2987-position model. The record is from RNAcentral. Lineage: Eukaryota; Metazoa; Arthropoda; Arachnida; Opiliones; Sclerosomatidae.
CGUUAGUAGUAUCAGUAACAGAAAUCUUAUUAGGGAUAAGCUUAAUAUCAUAUUUUUAUAUGUUUGUUCAAAUAGGGUUGUCAAAGGAUUAAUAGUGCCUCUAUGUUUUGUAACUGACUNCACAUUUGCUUAUAUUAAUUAGGUAUAUGAGGGUAUCUUGAAAUUUCUUUUGUUAGUAAUAAUGGUAGAAUUAGUAAAUUUAGAUUUUAGUGCUUUAGUUAAGGUGAGCUANGUAAGGUAGUUUAAUUCUAUAAAUUUUGGUAAGGAACUAGGCAAAAAUUUUUCUUAACUGUCUAUCAAAAACAUUUCUUUAAGUUAGGAUUUAAAGUAUUCUCUGCCCCCUGAUUUUANUAUUUAAAGGGCCGCAUUACCCUGACUGUGUUAAACAUACACAUUCGUUNGGUUAUUAAANUGGGAUUGUGAAAAGAAGAAAAUAAAAAGGGGAAGUGUCUCUNCCNAUGGGGGGAGUAAAAAAAUUUUUUAAGAGGAUGNGGAGGANUUUUUAGUGGGACGAUAUUACCCCUAAAAACUUUANUAAUUNUUUUAGUUAAAAUUUUUACUACNUUUAUUGGAGGGGUUAGGUUUCCUGGGGGGGGAAGAAAUAAAAUUGAGUUAUUUUUUNUUUUUUAGGGUCCCCCAUUGAGGGNNAAUAUGAGUAAGGUUCCUUUGGGAGAACAGCGCUUAUAUAUCNUUGGAGGUUUAAUNGGAGGAUAUGGAUGUGACCUCGAUGUUGAAUUAACCUUAUUGUAAGGUGAAGAAGCUUUAUGAGUUAGUCUGUUCGACUAUUGAAGGGUUACGUGAUUUGAGUUCAAACCGGUUUAAGCCAGGUUGGUUUCUAUCUACUGAGUUUAAAAGGUUUCUUAGUACGAAAGGACCAGAGACCUUAGAUUUUCUAAUUGAUUACGUUUUGGUCUAUUUUAGNUCCU